GGGGAAUUUUGGACAAUGGGGGCAACCCUGAUCCAGCCAUGCCGCGUGAGUGAAGAAGGCCUUCGGGUUGUAAAGCUCUUUCGGCCGGGAAGAAAUCGCAUGGGUUAAUACCCUGUGUGGAUGACGGUACCGGCAUAAGAAGCACCGGCUAACUACGUGCCAGCAGCCGCGGUAAUACGUAGGGUGCGAGCGUUAAUCGGAAUUACUGGGCGUAAAGCGUGCGCAGGCGGUUUGGUAAGACAGGCGUGAAAUCCCCGGGCUCAACCUGGGAACUGCGCUUGUGACUGCCUCACUAGAGUACGGCAGAGGGGGGUGGAAUUCCACGUGUAGCAGUGAAAUGCGUAGAGAUGUGGAGGAACACCGAUGGCGAAGGCAGCCCCCUGGGCCGAUACUGACGCUCAUGCACGAAAGCGUGGGUAGCAAAC
Molecule: ribosomal RNA, 425 nt
Filed under: uncultured bacterium
Lineage: Bacteria
Description: bacterial SSU rRNA
Rfam family: Bacterial small subunit ribosomal RNA
Source: RNAcentral